Molecule: long non-coding RNA, 1277 nt
Organism: Drosophila subpulchrella
Lineage: Eukaryota; Metazoa; Arthropoda; Insecta; Diptera; Drosophilidae
Exons: 2
Source: RefSeq, a predicted model, not a curated record
GAAAAGUCUCGCAAAUACGGUUGUAACAAUAAAAAACAAAUACUCUUCAUGGUCAUAAAUUCUUAUAAAUAAUAUGCGAAAUCGUCAAACGAAAGUUAUCCGCUUGAUGAAGGUCUGAGCUGGCUCUUCCGACCAGCUGUCAUCUGCGAGGCGGUUUGGACACCACUCAGCCUCGUAACCCGCACCACCGGGUUCCACAGAGUGGGGACAACUUUUCUACAAGUGAGGAAUGUCAGACCAUAAAGGAGUGCUACUCUUUUCAGUGCAUUUUUCGAGACCGAUUCCAAAGUCCGGCUCCCUGGCGGCGGCGGCGUUGUCCACUUGACCAGGCGACAGACCCAGCAACAACAACGCUGACAGGGACAAACGCAAUGCAGCAACACCAAGAGCAACAGCAACUGCAACGGCAACAGCAACAACCACAGCUGCAACAUGGAUGACACGUCAAUCUCGAGCUGCCCACUUGGUGCAUGCAACAGGGAACUGGAUUUGCCCAUUCGAGAAGUUCCAGCCGCGACAAAUUAAGCUGCAACGACCAGAACGACUCCUUGUACUUCCCAUUAAUUAGCACUAAAAUAAACAGAUCUGUGGCGAGGGGUCGGUGUCGGACCCUGGCCUUUCGUUUUCUACGAAAUCACGGACAUCUAUCAGCAGCAACAUGCCACACGACGUUGUAGACUGUCCGUUAAGGCAUCUGACAGCCGCCUAAGCAGUCAAUUGAUAUGCCCAAAGUGGGCACAGCCAACAUCCAAUAUCCAGCAUUCAGAAUCCAGCCUCAUAGAAGGGCACCAGCCAUAGCCAUCUAGCGAACCAACCAAAUCGAAUUCGAUUGAAGAUGCUGCCGAAGAUGACGAGGAACGCUCCCGAUAUGAUAGACAACAUAUCAAUUUGGGGUGGCUGGUGCUUACCCCACCAUUACACUGGAACAGCAGUUCCUAACUUAAUGAAUUCAGUUGGGUACUUGGAAACACCACAAUUUUUAUACACAUGCUUCGUGGUAUUUACAAAAUCUAAGCAUACAUUGCUUAGAUUUAUUUUUUAAAGGUAUAAUUGCAUUAGAGACUUUAUUAUUUAAAAUCCAAUUUUGAAAACAGUUUAUCGAGCAAUUUAAAAACAGUUUAUAAACAUCCUAUAGCAUAGUAUCUUAUUAAAACUAAAUAAAUAAAUGAUGUCCUAGACUUUAAGUCUUUUUGUUAAUCCGUUCUUUUAGCAGAAUAUUGUAUUGUUAGACUUGCUCUAUACAGUCCCAUACUACAUAAUAAAUAAUCCUGAAUUUA